CAGCCGCCGCGGGAAUACCGAGGGUGCGAGCGUUAAUCGGAUUUACUGGGCGUAAAGCGUGCGUAGGCGGCUUCUUAAGUCGGAUGUGAAAUCCCUGAGCUUAACUUAGGAAUUGCAUUCGAUACUGGGAAGCUAGAGUAUGGGAGAGGAUGGUAGAAUUCCAGGUGUAGCGGUGAAAUGCGUAGAGAUCUGGAGGAAUACCGAUGGCGAAGGCAGCCAUCUGGCCUAAUACUGACGCUGAGGUACGAAAGCAUGGGGAGCAAACAGGAUUAGAUACCCCAGUAGUCCCUGUCUCUUAUAU
This 301-nucleotide ribosomal RNA is filed under the name uncultured bacterium. Its description in RNAcentral is "partial 16S ribosomal RNA". It matches the Rfam family "Bacterial small subunit ribosomal RNA", at positions 509 to 809 of the family's 1533-position model. The record is from RNAcentral.